GCUUGUCUCAAAGAUUAAGCCAUGCAUGUCUAAGUAUAAGCCCUUGUACGGCGAAACUGCGAAUGGCUCAUUAAAACAGUUAUCGUUUCUUUGAUAAUCACUUACUAUAUGGAUAACUGUAGUAAUUCUAGAGCUAAUACAUGCGAGAAUGCCUAACUUUAUUAAUCAGAAGGGCUGCGUUUAUUAGAUACAAAUCCAACCCGGGGUUAGCCCCGGACCACGUUGGUGAUUCAUAAUAACCAAGCGAAUCGCAUAGGCUUGCCUGGCGAUAGAUCUUUCAAGUUUCUGACCUAUCAGCUAUUGACGGUAGGGUAUUGGCCUACCGUGGCUAUGACGGGUAACGGAGAAUUAGGGUUCGGUUCCGGAGAGGGAGCCUGAGAAACGGCUACCACAUCUAAGGAAGGCAGCAGG
This 411-nucleotide ribosomal RNA is filed under the name uncultured Perkinsidae. Its description in RNAcentral is "partial small subunit ribosomal RNA". It matches the Rfam family "Eukaryotic small subunit ribosomal RNA", at positions 30 to 432 of the family's 1831-position model. The record is from RNAcentral. Lineage: Eukaryota; Perkinsozoa; Perkinsida; Perkinsidae.